Molecule: long non-coding RNA, 842 nt
Filed under: Nicotiana benthamiana
Lineage: Eukaryota; Viridiplantae; Streptophyta; Magnoliopsida; Solanales; Solanaceae
Description: long non-coding RNA (NBEN_LNC018360)
Source: RNAcentral
UUGUUAAUUGAACAUUUAUACUUGUUCAAAUUUUAUAUAUUAAAUUCUUUUCUAAAGAAGUCAAUGAUGCGUGCAAUACAAUCGUCUUCACGUUGGACUUCACAUCAUUAUUUAGUGCCACAUAAGAAAUAUUAUGUUAAAAGUUAAAUUAAAAAAAAAACCCAAACACUAUUUCCCUCAUUUUACACAAAUUGUUUCUCUUUCAUCCUUUAUUUCUCAUUCUGCGCUCUAUCUCUUCUUCAUCUUCGUGUGUUUUUACUGAACUUCGUAGGAUUUUGAAUGUAUUUAAUGUGUUUAGGAUGAAAAGAGUAAUAGGAAUUUGAAUGUAAUUGUAUGUAGAUGAAGAGAGUGAGAUACAGGCGCCAAAACCACUAUGCUAUCAGAAGCUAAUGACUGGCAGAUUGAAAUUGGACCAAGUUUUGGCAGACUCAGUAAAUGACAAGCCUGUACUAUUUUUUUUCUGGCUUUUUUUGUGUUCGCAUAGAAUAUUAUAGUUUGUGCAAAUCAGAAUAUUGUCAUUAUUGUAGGCUUGGUAAUGGUAGGAAGCCAAAUUAGUCUCCUGAAUUUUCAAUUUUUUUGUCAAGUAUGUUGGAUUUCAUUCUGGGUUGUGGUCCAUCAAGUUAUAUCAUAAUAUUAUGGUAUUUUUGGAGAAUAUAGAGAAAUCUUGGAUGCUUUUUAGAUUAAAAAGUUAGGUGGUUUCAUUUGUUUCUCACGGAGUCCCUUAAAAGUAUAAUUUUAUCUGGGAGAUUCCAAACAAGGACGAAAAAGUUAGAAAAAAUUAAGGGAAAGAAGAGGUGGUUUUGCUAAUACCCAAAAUGAGCUCCAGGCAGGUUCAACAAUGG